AAAAAAGUGGAUAGCAAACAAUUUAUGGUUGGUGGUUAAUGAGAAAGUUAUUCAAUAAGGCCAUAUACCUUUUAACUAACAACUGCAAUAUACAAAUUUAAGUUACUUUAACAUUAUCUUUUCACAUACAUCAAACAAAAUUUAAUAGUGUGGUGGUCUCCUUAUUUUUCUUGUGUUCUUAUGUUAUUUAUUCUAAAUUUUGAUGUGAUGUAUACAUCAACGAUUUGU
This 228-nucleotide long non-coding RNA is filed under the name Cucumis sativus (cucumber). Its description in RNAcentral is "long non-coding RNA (CSAT_LNC002522)". The record is from RNAcentral. Lineage: Eukaryota; Viridiplantae; Streptophyta; Magnoliopsida; Cucurbitales; Cucurbitaceae.